UAGAUGAGUAGACUAACUGUCCAUUGUAGAAUAAUGAAGACUUUCCCCCUGAUUUGUAGCCCGUGCUAGACUGAACCAAUUGCCAACAUAAAGAAGCCCUGGGAAGAAGAUUUUGAGGACACCAGAUAAGACUUCAAUCUAAGACAGAGGGAUUUGUAUGGAAAUGCUUAGCCUCUUGCCAGAAGGAAAGGAAGUAGAAGUUUAAACAAAUGGAUCUGAAGCCUUUGGAGACGUGACUCCAAAGAACCCACUCACAGCUGAGAAUCAUUAAGAUGGCAUUCAUGUGACUUGAGAUUUUCCAUGUGUGAUGACUGCCUGUUUCAUCAAGUGACGUCGUUAGAGGCUGAAUCUACCUGUGCGCUGCAUGGCUGUGAUUUCACUACAACCAAGCUUUCCCUUGUGUGGGAAGGAAACACUAUGGGGUUGAUGAGCCAGCUUUAUUCUAAAUGACUGAAGACUUCUGUUCUUUUCAACAAACACAGUCCUCCAAUUAGGAGCUGCAAAUAAGAUUAUAUGCCCUGAAUAAGUCUGAAAAGGUCCUUUUAUAAUUACAAAGUUUGUGUGUGGGAAGUGGAAGCAGCAUUAAGUGUUCACUGUGGCUUUAUUAAGAGAGUGACAUGAAGAUUUCCCAAAUCUUCAUCUGAGUACUCUAAAAUGAUAAAAUAAAAAUCAUAGAAAACAGUAUGUAUAUUCCA
RNAcentral lists this long non-coding RNA (695 nucleotides) under Bos indicus x Bos taurus (hybrid cattle). Its description in RNAcentral is "lncRNA (ENSBIXG00005006311.1)". The record is from RNAcentral. Lineage: Eukaryota; Metazoa; Chordata; Mammalia; Artiodactyla; Bovidae.